NNNNNNNNNNNNNNNNNNNNNNNNNNNNNNNCCAAGCUGUUACAGAAAGGCAAAAGAGCAGUUACAUUGAAUUCAACCCUGGGGGAAGGGUCUUUUCACUGCAAGGGGAGGAGGGGUACUCUUACACAACAAAAGAGCAGUUAAUUAUUUAAAGACUGGGGGGGGGGUCUUUCAGUAGAGGGGGCAGUUCCGGGAUCAGGCAGUGUUCCUAAGAGCCAAAUUCAUCUCCGCCAGAACCAGCAUCUCUCUCCCUCUCCCAUGCUUCUGGGGUUAUUGUCUGUUUCUUCUCUUGUUUUGGGGGGCAGUUGCAGUUCUGAUGGGCACCUUCUCCCCAGUCCAAUCAGAGAAAGUGAAGAAAAGCCUUUCUGUCUUCCUGCCUGCAGGGAUCUUGCACAGGGAAGGUGCUCCAAGGGCAUCCAGGACAAGGCCGUUGUGAGGAAGGACACCAAGACGUGCCUGGAGAGGAUCUGAAUUUGGGGCUGAGACGUAUCAAAGAGUGACAAUGACAAUGGGGAUAAUGACUUGGGAUUUUUGCCUACCUUGGAGCACAAAAUGCACCUGUUGCCUUGAAGGCAUGACAACUCCCUUGAGAACAAUAUUACUGUUAGUGUCAUUGUUGUGAUUGUUGCAAUUAGAUUUGACCGAACACUGACUUCACGGAGCUGCUUCUGAGUGUGUCCAUGUUCUCUCUGCCUCCUACACUUGACUACUUCAAACACGGCUACCUGUGGCCACACUUUAGAUGGAAUCCAGUGAGACUUUGGCUCUUGCCAACAAAAUUAGGAAAACUGGGCUUGUUUUCUCCUCUUUAUAAAAAUGGGAAGAAACAACAACAAAGGAAAAUGUAAAAGUUACUAUUUCUUCAUUCUCUAAGUGACAUAGAAUGUUAUCUAAAUAAAUAUUUG
RNAcentral lists this long non-coding RNA (905 nucleotides) under Mustela putorius furo (domestic ferret). Its description in RNAcentral is "lncRNA (ENSMPUG00000026269.1)". The record is from RNAcentral. Lineage: Eukaryota; Metazoa; Chordata; Mammalia; Carnivora; Mustelidae.